Brachypodium distachyon (stiff brome) is the source of this 136-nucleotide non-coding RNA. The record is from Rfam. NCBI's taxonomy places the organism in Eukaryota, Viridiplantae, Streptophyta, Magnoliopsida, Poales, Poaceae.
AUAUUACUCCCUCCGUCCAACAAAAGAUGUCUCAAGUUUGUUAAAAUUUGGAUGUAUCUAGACAUGACUUAGUGUAUAGAUGCAUUCAAAUUUGGUCAAAGUUGAGACAUCCUUUGUUUGACGGAGGGAGUAUGAC